UCUCACACAGUUACAUGCUUUAAUUUGUUGAGUUGAGCAUCCCUGUUAAUCAAACCUUGAAUAAUUUGCAUCGAAACAACAAGAGAAGAACGAUAAAAUAAAACCUCAAGAUCUUGUAAAGUUAGGAGGGAAGAACAAUCACCAAUCUCGAGGUCAAUCAAUCUUGUUGUGGGAGCUAGGUGGUGGUGUCCUGGUUAAACAGCCGACAGCGCCAUGCAUGAUCCAUUUCUUUUUCCAUGCUUCUCUGUUUGAAGAGAAAAACCAAGAAAUGCUGUUGAUCUGUCCACGUGCCAAGAUCAAUAAAGGGAGGUCAUUAAUGGCGGGGAUGGUAAGGAAGAAGAAAAUCACAGAGCAAUAAAAGGUGGGGGUACGCAUGGGCUUUGCUGCAGGGCAUCAGUUUGGUCUGGUCAUUGAUAGAUAUCAUGAGAUCAGAUUGUGUGAUUUAGUUGUGAUUGUGUUGGAAUCUAGAGCCAGCCAGCCAGCCAUGUCGUGUCACCAGCAAUCUUGGGAGGCAGCUAGCUAGGCUGCUGCCUGCUUUGCUUUUUUAGUUCAACAGUGC
Molecule: long non-coding RNA, 559 nt
Filed under: Populus trichocarpa (black cottonwood)
Lineage: Eukaryota; Viridiplantae; Streptophyta; Magnoliopsida; Malpighiales; Salicaceae
Description: long non-coding RNA (PTRI_LNC002824)
Source: RNAcentral